GUGUCAGCCGCCGCGGUAAUACGGAGGGGGCUAGCGUUGUUCGGAAUUACUGGGCGUAAAGGGCGCGCAGGCGGCGGUUCAAGUCGGGCGUGAAAGGCCUGGGCUCAACCCGGGAAUGGCGCUCGAGACUGAAUUGCUAGAGUCCGGGAGAGGAUGGUGGAAUUCCCAGUGUAGAGGUGAAAUUCGUAGAUAUUGGGAAGAACACCGGUGGCGAAGGCGGCCAUCUGGACCGGUACUGACGCUGAGGCGCGAAAGCGUGGGGAGCAAACAGGAUUAGAUACCCGGGUAGUCC
RNAcentral lists this ribosomal RNA (292 nucleotides) under uncultured bacterium. RNAcentral's name for it is "partial 16S ribosomal RNA". It matches the Rfam family "Bacterial small subunit ribosomal RNA", at positions 505 to 796 of the family's 1533-position model. The record is from RNAcentral.